UAACCGCCAUAGGGGUAAGAAGCCCGCGGGAAACUUCUCCGACUGAAAUCCACUGAGAAGAAGGGAGUCUCUCUUCAGUUGUUGCUGCCGGGAAUUUUGGUUUCGGAAACAGCUAGCAGAGGAAACAAGAGGCUGUGGAUCAGUUUCUGAACCUUGUCAACACAGAUCACCACUGCUCCUCAUUAUCUCAAAAUCUUAUCAGGGACCCUAAAGACACUUCCUCCACAGACAGCAGGAAGCAGUUUGGAGAAAAGGAAGUCCACAUUUUCAAGAGUGGGGGCGGGGAGUCUGCGGCUCAGAGAUUGCCUUCGUGAGCACUUUCAAACGGUGCUGUGACUUUUGAAGUCUCAUGAGUGUGUUUCUCACUGUGAGAAGGCAUGAUUCUAUCUGGUCAUGGUGCAACAUUGUAACUUAAAGCCUCUAUAAUCACUGAAGAAGAUAUCCCUCUGGGCACAUCUGUGAAGAACUCUCUAGAUUAGUGUAACUGAGGAGGGAGAUACAUCCUGAAUGUGGGCAGCGUCUUACAGGCUGUGGUCCUCGACUGAGAAGACAGAAGGAGGAAGAAAGCUGGGACCAGCAUUCAUCGAUUCAUGCGCAUGCAGUGUGAGCAGCUCCUGCUGCUGGGAGGGACUGUCCCUCAGUCUGAACCAAAACUAACCUUUCCUUCCUUAAAAAUAUAGACUACUGUGAUUUUA
Mesocricetus auratus (golden hamster) is the source of this 695-nucleotide long non-coding RNA. RefSeq lists it as uncharacterized. The record is from RefSeq and is a predicted model, not a curated record. NCBI's taxonomy places the organism in Eukaryota, Metazoa, Chordata, Mammalia, Rodentia, Cricetidae. The transcript has 5 exons.